GGGGGAUUAGCUCAAUGGUCAGAGCAGGGCGCUCAUAACGCCUUGGUUGGGGGUUCAAGUCCCUCAUCCCCUA
This 73-nucleotide transfer RNA is filed under the name Rhodovulum sulfidophilum. RNAcentral describes it as "tRNA-Met". It matches the Rfam family "tRNA". Rfam says of the family: Transfer RNA (tRNA) molecules are approximately 80 nucleotides in length. Their secondary structure includes four short double-helical elements and three loops (D, anti-codon, and T loops). Further hydrogen bonds mediate the characteristic L-shaped molecular structure. tRNAs have two regions of fundamental functional importance: the anti-codon, which is responsible for specific mRNA codon recognition, and the 3' end, to which the tRNAs corresponding amino acid is attached (by aminoacyl-tRNA synthetases). tRNAs cope with the degeneracy of the genetic code in two manners: having more than one tRNA (with a specific anti-codon) for a particular amino acid; and 'wobble' base-pairing, i.e. permitting non-standard base-pairing at the 3rd anti-codon position. RNAcentral also lists the same sequence under 2 other names. Lineage: Bacteria; Pseudomonadati; Pseudomonadota; Alphaproteobacteria; Rhodobacterales; Paracoccaceae. The record is from RNAcentral.